This is a long non-coding RNA of Hyposmocoma kahamanoa, 876 nucleotides long. RefSeq lists it as uncharacterized. NCBI's taxonomy places the organism in Eukaryota, Metazoa, Arthropoda, Insecta, Lepidoptera, Cosmopterigidae. The transcript has 4 exons. The record is from RefSeq and is a predicted model, not a curated record.
ACUGUCACUUUCGUGUACGCCAGUAUAAUACUCUUUAUCUAUGUUUUCGUGGUAGAUCUGCUGUCAAAAGUUUGUUUGCUUAAUUCUUGAUAAAUACGUCUAGAAUCUAGUUAUUGUGGUGUCCUGUAUUGAGGAAAUCAUGCCCUCGUGUUGUCUAAAACAGUGUGGUGCAAGAAAAAACCAAAAUCAGCCUGAAUUGACCCUUCACAGAUUUCCUGUAAAUGAAAUUCUGAACAGGAAAUGGAUAGAAAUUAUUGGCAUCGAAAAUAUAAACCCCCUGACAUCAAUUAUGCUCUAUGUACUUAGAAGCAUGACUCCUUCAAUAAAACUCUCGAUGUGACAAGAUAAUAUGACGGCGCAAUACCUUCCAUGCUGCCUAGGCAAAUCACACACUCACAACAACCCAGUAUGAUGGUCAGGACACAAGCUGUUUUAAGUGAAGUAUAAAUUAAAUCAGAGCUGGCCUGUUCAAUGGAGUUGAACUUGUCAAAUUAUAAUUUGACCAAAAAUGUACCAUAUGCAAAGAUUCGACACCCAAAUGAAAAAGUGAAGUUUCUUACAAAAAAAAUGUGAUUUGCUGAAACGGAAAGUGACAAGUUUAAAUGAAAAGAUCCGGAGACGGGAUGGAAAGAUUGCUCUCUUAUCUAAUAUUUUCAAACACCUUCAGAAAGAUAGAUUCAUUAACAAUGAAGAAACGCUCAUUUUGGAGAAAUGUGCAGGACCAGAAGAUUUUUUGAAAAUGCAAAUAGCUAAAUCUAUGGGUUUACCUACAGAAAAAAAAUAUUCAGAAGAAAUAAGAAAAUUUUGCUUUGACACUUCAUUUUUUUUCUCCGAAAACAUAUAAGUUUAUAAGGAGUACCUACAACACAUGUUUGC